UACGAAGGGGGCUAGCGUUGCUCGGAAUUACUGGGCGUAAAGGGCGCGUAGGCGGAUAUUUAAGUCGGGGGUGAAAGCCCAGGGCUCAACCCUGGAACAGCCUUCGAUACUGGAUAUCUUGAGUACGGGAGAGGUGAGUGGAACUCCGAGUGUAGAGGUGAAAUUCGUAGAUAUUCGGAAGAACACCAGUGGCGAAGGCGACUCACUGGCCCGUUACUGACGCUGAGGCGCGAAAGCCAGGGGAGCAAACGGG
RNAcentral lists this ribosomal RNA (253 nucleotides) under uncultured bacterium. Its description in RNAcentral is "partial 16S ribosomal RNA". It matches the Rfam family "Bacterial small subunit ribosomal RNA", at positions 524 to 776 of the family's 1533-position model. The record is from RNAcentral.